This is a long non-coding RNA of Drosophila montana, 625 nucleotides long. RefSeq lists it as uncharacterized. The record is from RefSeq and is a predicted model, not a curated record. NCBI's taxonomy places the organism in Eukaryota, Metazoa, Arthropoda, Insecta, Diptera, Drosophilidae. The transcript is spliced from 4 exons.
GUAGCUGUGUGGAUAUAGAGAACGGUUGCACAUUACGAAACCCAAGUGCCUGGAGAGCAGGGGGACAAAUACCUUUAACGUAGACUGUAAUAGCGCCACAUCAGGUUGCUCGCUGUGAUACAAAGUGAUUUUGGGACAACAGAUUUACAUAUUUAAUGUCGUUGGUUUUAAGGCAACUUAAUCUGGGCGCAUUUGUUGCACGUCUUCCAGUGAUCUUCGUGUAAUAACGUGAUCGCCAAUCUAUUGUGCAGUCAGAAUCAGACUGUUUGCUCCUUCUCACGCGCCUGCUUUUACCAUGGUGAUUUUGGGACAACAGAUUUACUUAUAUACUGUUGGAGGUUUUAGAACAACUUAAUCUGGAUGCCUUUGUUGCACAUCUUUUAAUGAUCUCCGCGAAAUAACGUGAUCGCAAUUCUAUUGUGCAGCCUGAGGCCACGGCCCUCAUGCCCUCCAGAUUGCUGGUAUUCACAGCUAGACUGACAAAUUAAGGACUACAAUGAAUUCCAAGGACCUCCAUAGGUAUUUUAAGUUUAAAUAAGCUAUAAUUUUAUUUAUGCUCGUUUUGUACAAUUUUAAGAGAAAUAAUUAAGAAAAAUAGCAUAAAAACAACAAUUUUAAAAAUGUA